GGUGGCUCAGUGGCAGAGCGCUUGCCUUGCAUGCAUGAAGCCCUGGGUUCGAUUCCUCAGCACCA
RNAcentral lists this transfer RNA (65 nucleotides) under Dipodomys ordii (Ord's kangaroo rat). It matches the Rfam family "tRNA". Rfam says of the family: Transfer RNA (tRNA) molecules are approximately 80 nucleotides in length. The record is from Rfam by way of RNAcentral. Lineage: Eukaryota; Metazoa; Chordata; Mammalia; Rodentia; Heteromyidae.